GAUGAAGAACGUAGCGAAAUGCGAUAAGUAAUGUGAAUUGCAGAAUUCAGUGAAUCAUCGAAUCUUUGAACGCACAUUGCGCCCCCUGGUAUUCCGGGGGGCAUGCCUGUCCGAGCGUCAUUACAACCCUCAAGCUCAGCUUGGUGUUGGGCCCCGCCGCCCCGGCGGGCCCUAAAGUCAGUGGCGGUGCCGUCCGGCUCCGAGCGUAGUAAUUCUUCUCGCUCUGGAGGUCCGGUCGUGUGCUCGCCAGCAACCCCCAAUUUUUUUCAGGUUGACCUCGGAUCAGGUAGGGAUACCCGCUGAACUUAAGCAUAUCAAUACGGAGGA
Molecule: unclassified non-coding RNA, 327 nt
Filed under: soil metagenome
Description: partial contains 5.8S ribosomal RNA, internal transcribed spacer 2, and large subunit ribosomal RNA
Rfam family: 5.8S ribosomal RNA (bases 1-120)
Source: RNAcentral